GUAAUACGUAGGUGGCAAGCGUUAUCCGGAAUUAUUGGGCGUAAAGCGCGCGUAGGCGGUUUUUUAAGUCUGAUGUGGAAGCCCACGGCUCAACCGUGGAGGGUCAUUGGAAACUGGAAAACUUGAGUGCAGAAGAGGAAAGUGGAAUUCCAUGUGUAGCGGUGAAAUGCGCAGAGAUAUGGAGGAACACCAGUGGCGCAGGCGGCUUUCUGGUCUGCAACUGACGCUGAUGUGCGAAAGCGUGGGGAUCAAACAGGAUUAGAUACCCUGGUAGUCCACGCCGUAAACGAUGAGUGCUAAGUGUUAGGGGGUUUCCGCCCCUAGUGCUGCAGCUAACGCAUUCAGCAAUCCGCCUGGGGGGGACGGUAGCAAGACUGAAAAUCAAAGGAAAUGACGGGGACCCGCACAA
Molecule: ribosomal RNA, 409 nt
Filed under: Staphylococcus pseudintermedius
Lineage: Bacteria; Bacillati; Bacillota; Bacilli; Caryophanales; Staphylococcaceae
Description: bacterial SSU rRNA
Rfam family: Bacterial small subunit ribosomal RNA
Source: RNAcentral